GACGAACGCUGGCGGCGUGCUUAACACAUGCAAGUCGAACGGAAAGGCCCUGCUUUUGUGGGGUGCUCGAGUGGCGAACGGGUGAGUAACACGUGAGUAACCUGCCCUUGACUUUGGGAUAACUUCAGGAAACUGGGGCUAAUACCGGAUAGGAGCUCCUGCUGCAUGGUGGGGGUUGGAAAGUUUCGGCGGUUGGGGAUGGACUCGCGGCUGAUCAGCUUGUUGGUGGGGUAGUGGCUUACCAAGGCUUUGACGGGUAGCCGGCCUGAGAGGGUGACCGGCCACAUUGGGACUGAGAUACGGCCCAGACUCCUACGGGAGGCAGCAGUGGGGAAUAUUGCACAAUGGGCGGAAGCCUGAUGCAGCAGCGCCGCGUGCGGGAUGACGGCCUUCGGGUUGUAAACCGCUUUCGCCUGUGACGAAGCGUGAGUGACGGUAAUGGGUAAAGAAGCACCGGCUAACUACGUG
RNAcentral lists this ribosomal RNA (468 nucleotides) under uncultured bacterium. Its description in RNAcentral is "partial 16S ribosomal RNA". It matches the Rfam family "Bacterial small subunit ribosomal RNA", at positions 28 to 507 of the family's 1533-position model. The record is from RNAcentral.